CUGGGCUUUCUCCUCCAUCACUUCCUUCUGUUGGGUAACGUGUAGUGAGGCAGGGAGGCGUGAGGAGCCGGGCUCUUCACUCCUUCGCGCCGCUCUGAGGACAUGGAGGAGCGGACACUGAGGAGGGCAGACACCGAGGGACAGCGGCUCUACAGCGGCCAGGACGGGGACGUUACCUGCAGCACGAACACAACUCCAACUGACGGGAUAACAUGGUGACUGCUGCUAAACUUUUACUCUCAUCUUCAGCUCCUGUCGCGGAUGGCUGCUUUAACUUUUCACUGAUUGGCGUUUUGGUCAUGUGGAUGUUAUCGUAGUUAGUUGUGCUUUCUUUUCUUCACUGUGGGUCCAGAGGAGCUCUGCCUCAGGCGUAAAUCUGGCGCACUGUCCCGCAUAGAUCGCCUCUUUAAUAUUUCAGAGCAGUCAGUGGAGGUUAACAUAGGGCUGCUCAAUAAUGGCAUAAAUCGUAAUCACGAUUAUUUUGAUUUAUGUCUAGAUGACGGUUAUUAUACCUACCACUCUGUGCGUAAAUGUCAGCUCAUUAAAUUAACUCGUGAAGGGCAGACAUGAACACAUUUAUAUUUUGUUCCAGGUAAGACUCUUACAAACCUAGAGUAGUUUCCAUAUGGCUAAGAUUGGAAUCCAUUGGCUGCCUUUCUGUCAUCUUCUGCAGCUCUCUUGCUUUUUAAAUCAACCAUAGUACACUCUGUGGCUUUCUCUGCUCCUCACUCAAAUUAAAGAGAGAGCUGUCAGUGGAAGGAGGAACCGCACAGAGACGGCAUGCUCCACAGUGACAGUAGAAACUCCUUUAUGUUGUUUUCAUGAUUGUGGGAAGCUAAAUCAUCAUUGAAUUUGACUCUUGAUUAGUCGUCCAGCACUAGGUUAACAUGGGGGCAAAGCAGAGCAGCCCUACCGCUAACCCAGCUGCUAACGGACGGACCAGAGCCUACUCCGGCUCGGACUUGCCCUCCAGCACAGCCAGCAGUAACGGCAGUAACGUUAGCAGGACUACCGCUGGGGGGAUGAGGUACCAUGCUACCUCUGGGGCCAGCACCAGCCAGCACCUUGGAGCCAGAGCCAGGUCUGUUGGAGGCUCAGGAGGCUCUGGGACCAGACCUCAGUCAGGGAUUAAUAUCCCAAACAGCAGUGGAGCCUACAGCUCUCCGGAGUCUGGAGGCAGCAGUCCGGAAGAGGGAGAGGACAGAGAACACCCAGGUGGAGGGAAUGAAGGUCCCCGGCUGAUGAUAGGAUCAUUACCAGCACAUCUUUCACCUCACCUGUUUGGAGGCUUCAAGUGCCCUGUCUGCUCCAAGUUCGUGUCCUCGGAUGAGAUGGAUCUGCACCUGGUGUUGUGUUUAACCAAGCCCAGAGUGACGUAUAAUGAGGACGUCCUGACGAAGGAUGCCGGAGAAUGUGCAAUCUGCCUGGAGGAUCUGGCACAGGGAGACACCAUCGCUCGCCUGCCUUGCCUCUGCAUCUAUCACAAAGGCUGCAUCGAUGAGUGGUUUGAAGUGAACAGAUCAUGUCCAGAGCAUCCAUCAGAUUAAAACUUUUUUGCACAGGCACCUUUCAAGACACUCAAGGUCACCUUACAAGAAAAGGUACUCUGGAGUGAGAGCGAUCUACAAUCCUCAGCGUGGAUCCAUGAGACUGCUGGACACUGUGAGCACUGUGAUCAGUUUAACCCAAUAAUGUAGAACCACAGUGUGCCAAAUCUCAUUAAGCAAUCUUCAGGGAAACAGACUCGUGUGUUUUUGUUUGAGUUGCACAUUCACGCUCACUCUGAGCCUGGACGGACUGAAUCUCCACGAGGCCACUGGACAGCAGAUAUCAGCUGAUUGUACACCGGGACACCGGAGGAGGUGUAGGUGGUCCUGGAGGGGUGGAGGGGGUGAUGUACAGGUGACCCCUUUCCCUCUGACUCUGCCCCGCCUCCUUCUUCAGCAUCAGUGUCUACCAGUGCCUUGUUGUCGUUGUUGUUUUGAUUACUGGGGGUUGUACCAUGAAGCGAGAUUAGACGGUAAUCCUGGUCAGUUCAGUGGUAAGAUUUCAGUGUCAUGAAGCUGGCUGUCUUUUAACUAGGCUAGAUUACCAAACGGACCCUGAACCCAUCGCCUUGUCAGUACCAGCUUAUAUCUAGAGUUCGCUGAAAUCUGCUGUUAAACAUUGUCAUUUUUAUUUAUAAGGGACUGUUCUCAGUGAGCAUUAUUCAGCUGAAGGAAUGAGUUCAUUAAAACGUCUGAAAUUAUAACACUGAGUUUGUAAUGUCCCAAAUCAAAGCCACAAAAUAACAUACUGGAUAAAUCACAUAACAGAGCCCACAUUGCUUUUACCAGGCUGCAUUCAUACUUUAACUCUCACCAGACCACCCUCACCAUAGAGGAGGAGGUCCAGCAUCUUAAUGGCUGUGUCCGAUGAGGUACGUGCAUGCAUCGGCCAUGUCAGAGCUGUGUCACAGGUUGAUUUUCAUUCAGCUGUGCAUUUUAACAAGUAACGGAUAUCAGCCUACCAGCAUGAGCACCUCAUCUGACACACUGAGGCUCGGCUAUUUUUACCACAAGCUUCUCCUGUCUCUUGGCCAUGAAAGAGAGUCAUGUUUACCGUGUUUUAGCAAAUACACGAUAACAGUGUUACUCUACCCUGCUCAACUAAAGAGUCAAAUUGUUGAAAAUGGCCUUUGCAAGAGCCACAAUCUAAAUGGUGAAAAGUGGCAAAAAUGGGUUAAAGUGGCAAUAAAAAUAUGUGAAAGGAGAAAAAAUGGUCAAAAAGUGGCAAAAAAAAUGGGUGAAACAGGGGCAAAAGUUACAGGUGCUCAAAAAGCAGAAAAAUGCAGCAAAAAGUGAGUUAAAGUGACUAAAAUUGGCAAAAAAGCUGGGCACAUGGGGGUAAAGUGGCACUUAAUGGCUGUAGGCAGCUAAAAUGGGCAAAAAGUGGUAAAAAAAAAAGGGGGAAAAUUGCAAGAGAAGCAGGAUAAAAGUGGCAAAAAUUGGCAAGACGU
This is an RNA transcript of Cheilinus undulatus (humphead wrasse), 2998 nucleotides long. It is a transcript of the gene named zinc and ring finger 2b, with no coding region annotated. The transcript is spliced from 6 exons. The record is from RefSeq and is a predicted model, not a curated record. NCBI's taxonomy places the organism in Eukaryota, Metazoa, Chordata, Actinopteri, Labriformes, Labridae.